UACUUCCUCAAAUGUAAGUCGCUUUGGACAAAAGUGCCUGCUAAAUGACUAAAU
This is a non-coding RNA of Danio rerio (zebrafish), 54 nucleotides long. Lineage: Eukaryota; Metazoa; Chordata; Actinopteri; Cypriniformes; Danionidae. The record is from Rfam.